RNAcentral lists this ribosomal RNA (378 nucleotides) under uncultured Acidobacteriota bacterium. RNAcentral's name for it is "SSU rRNA". It matches the Rfam family "Bacterial small subunit ribosomal RNA", at positions 242 to 637 of the family's 1533-position model. The record is from RNAcentral. Lineage: Bacteria; Pseudomonadati; Acidobacteriota.
CAGCUUGUUGGUAGGGUAAUGGCCUACCAAGGCAAUGAUCGGUAGCCGGCCUGAGAGGGCACACGGCCACACUGGCACUGAAACACGGGCCAGACUCCUACGGGAGGCAGCAGUGGGGAAUCUUGCACAAUGGGGGCAACCCUGAUGCAGCGACGCCGCGUGAGCGAUGAAGCCCUUCGGGGUGUAAAGCUCUUUCGGCAGGAACGAUAAUGACGGUACCUGCAGAAGAAGCUGCGGCUAACUACGUGCCAGCAGCCGCGGUAAUACGUAGGCAGCAAGCGUUGUUCGGAGUUACUGGGCGUAAAGAGUGUGUAGGCGGUUCUCUAAGUUCCGUGUGAAAUCUCCCGGCUCAACUGGGAGGGUGCGCGGAAAACUGAA